UCAGAACAAAUAUACUCAUUCCACCUUUCAACCGUGCUAGUUGAAUAAGUCAGCUAGUAUAUGUGUAUCCGGAUAAAAGACAAUGUCAGGUGAGCUGAAGCCACAAGAGUAAAG
This is a long non-coding RNA of Ipomoea nil (Japanese morning glory), 114 nucleotides long. RefSeq lists it as uncharacterized. NCBI's taxonomy places the organism in Eukaryota, Viridiplantae, Streptophyta, Magnoliopsida, Solanales, Convolvulaceae. The transcript has 2 exons. The record is from RefSeq and is a predicted model, not a curated record.